This 375-nucleotide ribosomal RNA is filed under the name Hemidactylus agrius. Its description in RNAcentral is "partial 12S ribosomal RNA". The record is from RNAcentral. Lineage: Eukaryota; Metazoa; Chordata; Lepidosauria; Squamata; Gekkonidae.
AUAAACCAAGUCCAAAACCACAGCCAACCGACCGCCAGAGAACUACAAGUAAAAAACUUAAAACUCAAAGGACUUGACGGUGUCCCAUAUCCCCCUAGAGGAGCCUGUCCUAUAAUCGAUAACCCACGCUCUACCUCACCUGUCCUAGCACAUUCUACCUCAGCCUAUAUACCGCCGCCUCCAGCCCACCUUGCAAAAGAAUUCAUAGUGGGCAAGCCAGUACACCACUUUAACGCCAGGUCAAGGUGUAGCUAAUGAACAGGCAGAGAUGGGCUACAUUUUCUUGAACAAAAGAAAACACCAACAGCAACAUGAAACUACGCCAAAAGGCGGAUUUAGCAGUAAGCCGCGCAAGAUCAGCCCGCCUGAAGAAAG